RNAcentral lists this ribosomal RNA (253 nucleotides) under uncultured bacterium. RNAcentral's name for it is "partial 16S ribosomal RNA". It matches the Rfam family "Bacterial small subunit ribosomal RNA", at positions 524 to 776 of the family's 1533-position model. The record is from RNAcentral.
UACGAAGGGGGCUAGCGUUGUUCGGAAUAACUGGGCGUAAAGCGCGCGUAGGCGGGCUGUUAAGUCAGGGGUGAAAUCCCGGGGCUCAACCCCGGAACUGCCUUUGAUACUGGCAGCCUAGAGUUCGAGAGAGGUGAGUGGAAUUCCGAGUGUAGAGGUGAAAUUCGUAGAUAUUCGGAGGAACACCAGUGGCGAAGGCGGCUCACUGGCUCGAUACUGACGCUGAGGUGCGAAAGCGUGGGGAGCAAACAGG